This 230-nucleotide ribosomal RNA is filed under the name uncultured bacterium. RNAcentral's name for it is "partial 16S ribosomal RNA". It matches the Rfam family "Bacterial small subunit ribosomal RNA", at positions 524 to 752 of the family's 1533-position model. The record is from RNAcentral.
UACGUAGGGGGCAAGCGUUGUCCGGAUUUAUUGGGCGUAAAGCGCGCGUAGGCGGCGCGGUAUGUCGUGCGUGAAAUCUCCCGGCUUAACUGGGAGGGCCGUGCGAAACUGCCGGGCUUGAGGUCAGAAGGGGAAAGUGGAAUUCCGGGUGUAGUGGUGGAAUACGUAGGAUAUCCGGAGGAACACCAGCGGCGAAGGCGGCUUCUGGUCGUGAUACUGACGCUGGAGGC